ACGUACACUCCUGCGGGAGGCAGCAGUGGGGAAUAUUGCACAAUGGGCGCAAGCCUGAUGCAGCCAUGCCGCGUAUAUGAAGAAGGCCUUCGGGUUGUAAAGUACUUUCAGCGGGGAGGAAGGCGAUAAGGUUAAUAACCUUGUUGAUUGACGUUACCCGCAGAAGAAGCACCGGCUAACUCCGUGCCAGCAGCCGCGGUAAUACGGAGGGUGCAAGCGUUAAUCGGAAUUACUGGGCGUAAAGCGCACGCAGGCGGUCUGUCAAGUCGGAUGUGAAAUCCCCGGGCUCAACCUGGGAACUGCAUUCGAAACUGGCAGGCUAGAGUCUUGUAGAGGGGGGUAGAAUUCCAGGUGUAGCGGUGAAAUGCGUAGAGAUCUGGAGGAAUACCGGUGGCGAAGGCGGCCCCCUGGACAAAGACUGACGCUCAGGUGCGAAAGCGUGGGGAGCAAACAGGAUUAGAUACCCGAGUAGUCCCAUGA
Molecule: ribosomal RNA, 480 nt
Filed under: uncultured organism
Description: partial 16S ribosomal RNA
Rfam family: Bacterial small subunit ribosomal RNA
Source: RNAcentral